This 242-nucleotide ribosomal RNA is filed under the name Rhipicephalus appendiculatus. Its description in RNAcentral is "partial 12S ribosomal RNA". Lineage: Eukaryota; Metazoa; Arthropoda; Arachnida; Ixodida; Ixodidae. The record is from RNAcentral.
UAAUUUGAUUUGGUUUUUAAGAAAAAUCUUCUAGUUUUUUUAUACAAUUUUUAUAAAAAUUUUUGUAGAAAAUUUAUUUUAUUUAAUAAUAAAAAAUUAUUAAGAAUUAGAAAAAUAAUCUAGCUAAAUUUGUGCCAGCAGCAGCGGUUAAACAAAUAGAACAAUUCUUAUUCUAAUAGAAUUUAAAAAAUGUGGUAAAAUUUUGUUAAAAAUUAAGGUGAAAUUUAUUUUUAAAAUUAAUU